GGGUCAGUAGGUUGGUCGUGCCACCGGUACGUACUGGUCUCACCGAUUCCUCCUUCCUGAAGAACCUUAAUGCCAUUAAUUUGGUGUUGCGGGGAAACAGGACUGUUACUUUGAAAAAAUUAGAGUGUUUAAAGCAAGCUAACGCUUGAAUACAUUAGCAUGGAAUAAUGAAAUAGGACGAUCGAUCCUAUUUUGUUGGUUUCUAGGAUUGACGUA
This 216-nucleotide ribosomal RNA is filed under the name Glomeromycotina sp. RNAcentral describes it as "partial small subunit ribosomal RNA". The stretch from base 46 to 216 matches the Rfam family "Eukaryotic small subunit ribosomal RNA", at positions 692 to 864 of the family's 1831-position model. Lineage: Eukaryota; Fungi; Glomeromycota. The record is from RNAcentral.